RNAcentral lists this ribosomal RNA (365 nucleotides) under uncultured organism. RNAcentral's name for it is "bacterial SSU rRNA". It matches the Rfam family "Bacterial small subunit ribosomal RNA", at positions 526 to 896 of the family's 1533-position model. The record is from RNAcentral.
CGGAGGAUCCAAGCGUUAUCCGGAAUCAUUGGGUUAAAGGGUCCGUAGGCGGUUUUAUAAGUCAGUGGUGAAAUCUGGUCGCUCAACGAUCAAACGGCCAUUGAUACUGUAAGACUUGAAUUACUUGGAAGUAACUAGAAUAUGUAGUGUAGCGGUGAAAUGCUUAGAGAUUACAUGGAAUACCAAUUGCGAAGGCAGGUUACUACAAGUAUAUUGACGCUGAUGGACGAAAGCGUGGGGAGCGAACAGGAUUAGAUACCCUGGUAGUCCACGCCGUAAACGAUGGAUACUAGCUGUUUGGAGCAAUCUGAGUGGCUAAGCGAAAGUGAUAAGUAUCCCACCUGGGGAGUACGCUCGCAAGAGUG